ACCACGACACAGACUGCAAGAGAGAUCUUGAUGGUUCUUCUGAAGCGGUACCACAGUGGCCAUGCGAUGAGCAAAUACCUGAAACACAAGAUACACAGUCUAUCAUCAGAUACAGAAUAUUCCUGACUUUGAGGAGCUUCAGAUUUAUAUGGAGUGGUAGGCUAAGAGGUCUGUCAUAGCUGAUCAGCUGCACCUGAGGAGGGAGUGGCCCAAAGGAUAUAAAAGGACUGCUGGCCCAGGAGUCUCUCUCUUUCUUUUCAGCUGAACAGCAGCACCCCGUCCACAUGGCUUUCACUUUAGAUUAGUUUGUGUUGAACUUCUGUUUCUUUACUUUUACAGCCAACAUUUCAUGCAUCCACACACCCACUUUA
This is a long non-coding RNA of Thunnus maccoyii (southern bluefin tuna), 371 nucleotides long. RefSeq lists it as uncharacterized. The transcript is spliced from 2 exons. The record is from RefSeq and is a predicted model, not a curated record. NCBI's taxonomy places the organism in Eukaryota, Metazoa, Chordata, Actinopteri, Scombriformes, Scombridae.